Long non-coding RNA from Diabrotica virgifera virgifera (western corn rootworm), 1352 nucleotides. RefSeq lists it as uncharacterized. The transcript has 2 exons. NCBI's taxonomy places the organism in Eukaryota, Metazoa, Arthropoda, Insecta, Coleoptera, Chrysomelidae. The record is from RefSeq and is a predicted model, not a curated record.
AAACAAUUAAUCAGAAGUAACUCUCUCAAUUGAUUACAUUUGGCAACAGUGAGUAGACUUGUAUAUUCCAAACAUAACUCAAAACAUAACCUUAUAAAAAUUUUAGUUGUUAAAAACUUGUUAAAAAUGUUAAAUGAGUUAUUUAUUAUUGUUUUCUUAUAUUUUGCAAUUGUUAAGCUGGUUUACUUCGAAUUUACAAGGCAUAUUGUAAUAGGCAUUAUUUACCAUUACUUUGGUAUUUCUCCAGCUUUCUACAAGAAGUUUGGUGAUUUUGAAUUGGGAUUAUGAUGAAUUCAACCCAAAGGAAAUACAUAAUGUGAAUAUUUUAUGUGGAAAAGUUCCAGACACCAUAAAAAUUUGAGUUUCUUCCUGUUCCCAUGGAUGAAAAUGGGGACAUCUCAUCUGAAGGAAUUACAAUUAUUUGCCAGUAUGCCAAAUGAAUUUUCAACAUCAGUCAUACUUUCGUGAAUUUAUUGAUGAAAAUAAAACUAGGUACAUGAUUUAUUAUUUACUUCCAAGGGAUUCUAAGAUACUAUGUGUAAAAAGUCCAAUAUGCAGUGAUGAGCGUGCUAAUAACCCGCAAAAUAUGGGAUAUAACGCUAAAGAUGGGAAACAUGGGAUGCAGUCUGAAGUAAAAAGAGAUGAAACUACUAGAGGUGGAAAUUAUCGAUAUAAACAUAUAAAUUAAUAUAAAAAUAUAUAUAACAUAGUUUAUUAUUAUAUAUAUAUUACAUAGUUUCCCACCUUUAGACGUAUCAGAUGAGUAUGACAACUAUCACUAUGACAGGAGAAUUUUAUAAAAUACUCCUGUCACAGAUGUCUAAAUGUGGGAAACUAUGUAAUGUUAUUGUCGGCUAAGAGUGUUAAAACCUGCUAACUCCAUUUUUCACUGUGAGUGAUAUUGGGGUAGUUUCUAGGUCUGUGUACCUUCAUACACUGUCCCACAAGCCCGCUGGUUCCACUGUAGUUUAGAGAUAGUUAUUUCUAAACUACAUUGGGGUCAGCCGGUUUGUGGGGUGGUGUAUGAAAGUACACAGACCCAGAAACCAGCCCAAUAUCACUCAAAGUGAAAAAUGGAGUCAGCAGGUUAAAACUCUUAUCUGAUGUUAUGUUAAUUUAUUCGUUUAUAACGAUAAUUUCCACUUCUACCAGUUUCAUCUCUUUUUAUCUCAUAAGUUAAUAUGGUUUCCAUCUUUUUCCAUCUGUUCUCCAUGAAAUUUAUGAGUUCAUUUUUUGUACCUAUUAAACUUUAUUUUAAGGAUGAAUUUGAAAUGCAUUUAGGGAAUAUAUCUGUAAAAAAUAAAAUGUGUAUUGUAAAAUUGAAAUUCUCAAAAUAUAAUUUAUAAUUCGAA